AAGUGAGAUGGCAGAGCAGAAGCAGGAAGUGAAGUGGCUGGGAGAGAGAGGAUAUAAGCAGGAAGAAACAGGAGCUUGAACUCUUUUCCACUGAGACACUAAUGAGGGGCCCACUCAAGAUGGUCAUGAGCAGCCCCAGGCAUGACUUUGGGAACUCCAGUGGAAAGAAGGCAUUCCUUUUUGGCUAGAUCCAGAAAAAGUCCUGCCUAAGACUGACAUUGGCUCUGUUUGGUCACUGAGUCAAAUUCUGACAAACCACGUUGAUUCUUAACAGCACCUGGUGAACACGAGCCUGGACCCUAUAGAACCCUAAGGCUUCACGAGUCUGAGCCUGCAGUUGGACCAGCAUGGCCACUGUUCUGGACCUAUUCCCGUGGCUUGAAUGUGCACACAGUUCAGCUGGCCCAGUUCUACCAGAGGCAAAGGGGUUCCUUGCAGAUGUGAUGCCAGGAGGACAGUCAUGCCUGUGCUUCCAGGAACCCCCAUUCUAUUCUAUGCCAGAGACACACAGAUGGUGGCUGGAUUCCAGCCACAGAUGCAGCUCCCUCAAGAACAGUGAAGCCUACAACAGGAGUGUGCCCCCUCUGGGUCUCAGGCCUGAGGGGACAGUAGCAUCUGUGUGACCGAAGACUCACCCUCUGUGAGUGGAACAGUUAAGGCUGUCUGUGGCCUAGCAUCUGCUGGUCCCAUUCACUAUGGCAAGGCUGUGGACAUUCAGUCUUAGACCUUCUCACCCCAGUGCCUGAACUCAACAGGAAAACGUCAGCUGCAAAGUCCUGGACUCUGCCUGCCAUCACCAUCACUCUACAGACAUCUUCAGCACAUCUCUGUGAGAUUACUUCCUUUAUACUAGGGUUUUGUGUAGCUAUUUCCUCCUGGUGGCAACACUCCUUCCUGGAGAUGCUAAGCUCACAAUGAAGUUACAAGACUCAUGAGGCCCCAGACCCCAUGAGGCUCCCUCCUUGAGGUUAUAUAAGCUUAAACAAUUACUGUAGAGUUACUAGCAUGUUAUUCAGGGAGUUUCAGGGAUGCACCUUUCAUGAGAUUGUCACCCAUGCUGGAGGGGAGGAGGGAUUUUCAGCAGUACAGCAGCCUGAGUCACCUAUGUUCCUGUAAGUGACCCAAAUAAACUCAUUGGUUCACUAAGUUAAACUGGGGUGAAAUAGUUUUUUUAGCCCAUUGUCGGCACCCUAUCUGACGUCCAUGGACAUCUGCUCACAUCUCCAGCAGGACAAUACUGAGGAUUUAUAUGUAAUGUAUUAUUUUGCUCUCGGGCUAACUCCAUUGAGUAUGGUACAAUGAAUAUUCCCACAUUUUCCUAAACUGGAAACUGAGACACCAAGGUUAAAGAGCUCCUGAAGAAGCACAGAGAAAGGGAAGUGGAGAUUUCCCAUUUGUCAGGCAAAGUGGGAAGGUCUGCAGUGAAUCCAUAUCAGGUUAGAGAAAAGGGGUGUCGACAGAGAUUCAAGCUCCUGGUGAGAGAUGAAGGCAAUGUGGGGGGUGGGGGGACACACAUCAGGGCAAGUAUCGUUUGCAUGAGUCCUAACCCACUAAAAACUGUGAAGUGAAAAUAGUUUAAAACAAGGACAAUCAAGGUGGAGUCCCACAUGUGAGCAGUGUGAUGGCACUCGGGAUGGAGUCCCAGGGGUGAGCAGUGUAAUGUGCUGGCGCAAAAAUAAAA
Molecule: non-coding RNA, 1681 nt
Organism: Cricetulus griseus (Chinese hamster)
Lineage: Eukaryota; Metazoa; Chordata; Mammalia; Rodentia; Cricetidae
Source: RefSeq, a predicted model, not a curated record